RNAcentral lists this ribosomal RNA (468 nucleotides) under uncultured bacterium. RNAcentral describes it as "partial 16S ribosomal RNA". It matches the Rfam family "Bacterial small subunit ribosomal RNA", at positions 28 to 507 of the family's 1533-position model. The record is from RNAcentral.
GACGAACGCUGGCGGCGUGCUUAACACAUGCAAGUCGAACGGAAAGGCCCUGCUUUUGUGGGGUGCUCGAGUGGCGAACGGGUGAGUAACACGUGAGUAACCUGCCCUUGACUUUGGGAUAACUUCAGGAAACUGGGGCUAAUACAGCAUAGGAGCUCCUGCUCCAUGGUGGGGGUUGGAAAGUUUCGGCGGUUGGGGAUGGACUCGAGGCUUAUGCGCUUGUUGGUGGGGUAGUGGAUUACCAAGGCUUUGACGGGUAGCCGGCCUGAGAGGGUGACCGGCGACAUGAGGACUGCGAGACGGAGCAGACGCCUACGGGAGGCAGCAGUGGGGAAUAUGGCACAAUGGGCGGAAGCCUGAGGCAGCAAUGCCGCGUGCGGGAUGCCGGCUUUCGGGGUGUAAACAGCUGUCGCCGGUGACGAAGCGUGAGUGACGGUAAUGGGUCAAGAAGCACCGGCUAACUACGUG